Brachypodium distachyon (stiff brome) is the source of this 125-nucleotide non-coding RNA. Lineage: Eukaryota; Viridiplantae; Streptophyta; Magnoliopsida; Poales; Poaceae. The record is from Rfam.
AUAAUACUCCCUCCGUUCCAUAAUUCUUGUCUCAAAUUUGUCAAAAAAUGGAUGCAUCUAUUCCCCAAAAAUGUCUAGAUACAUGUAAUAUUUCGACAAGAAUUAUGAAACGGAGAGAGUAUCUC